RNAcentral lists this ribosomal RNA (497 nucleotides) under uncultured bacterium. RNAcentral describes it as "partial 16S ribosomal RNA". It matches the Rfam family "Bacterial small subunit ribosomal RNA", at positions 28 to 507 of the family's 1533-position model. The record is from RNAcentral.
GAUGAACGCUGGCGGCGUGCCUAAUACAUGCAAGUCGAGCGAACGGACGAGAAGCUUGCUUCUCUGAUGUUAGCGGCGGACGGGUGAGUAACACGUGGAUAACCUACCUAUAAGACUGGGAUAACUUCGGGAAACCGGAGCUAAUACCGGAUAAUAUUUUGAACCGCAUGGUUCAAAAGUGAAAGACGGUCUUGCUGUCACUUAUAGAUGGAUCCGCGCUGCAUUAGCUAGUUGGUAAGGUAACGGCUUACCAAGGCAACGAUGCAUAGCCGACCUGAGAGGGUGAUCGGCCACACUGGAACUGAGACACGGUCCAGACUCCUACGGGAGGCAGCAGUAGGGAAUCUUCCGCAAAGGGCGAAAGCCUGACGGAGCGACGCCGCGUGAAUGAUGAAGGUCUUCGGAUCGUAAAACUCUGUUAUUAGGGAAGAACAUAUGUGUAAGUAACUGUGCACAUCUUGACGGUACCUAAUCAGAAAGCCACGGCUAACUACGUG